This 343-nucleotide unclassified non-coding RNA is filed under the name soil metagenome. RNAcentral's name for it is "partial contains 5.8S ribosomal RNA, internal transcribed spacer 2, and large subunit ribosomal RNA". The stretch from base 1 to 120 matches the Rfam family "5.8S ribosomal RNA", at positions 35 to 154 of the family's 154-position model. The record is from RNAcentral.
GAUGAAGAACGCAGCGAAAUGCGAUAAGUAAUGUGAAUUGCAGAAUUCAGUGAAUCAUCGAAUCUUUGAACGCGCAUUGCGACCGCCAGCAUUCUGGCGGGCAUGCCUGUUCGAGCGUCAUUUCAACCCUCGAGCCCCCCCGGGGGCCUCGGUGUUGGGGGACGGCACACCAGCCGCCCCCGAAAUGCAGUGGCGACCCCGCCGCAGCCUCCCCUGCGUAGUAGCACACACCUCGCAUCGGAGCGCGGAGGCGGUCACGCCGUAAAACGCCCAACUUUCUUAGAGUUGACCUCGGAUCAGGUAGGAAUACCCGCUGAACUUAAGCAUAUCAAUAAGCGGAGGA